UACAGAGGUCCCAAGCGUUGUUCGGAUUCACUGGGCGUAAAGCGCACGUAGGCGGCGAAGCAAGUCGGGUGUGAAAGCCCUGGGCUCAACCCAGGAAGCGCAUUCGAAACUAUUUCGCUUGAAUCUCGGAGGGGGUCAGAGAAUUCCCGGUGUAGAGGUGAAAUUCGUAGAUAUCGGGAGGAAUACCAGUGGCGAAGGCGCUGACCUGGACGAAGAUUGACGCUGAGGUGCGAAAGCGCGGGGAGCAAACAGG
Molecule: ribosomal RNA, 253 nt
Filed under: uncultured bacterium
Lineage: Bacteria
Description: partial 16S ribosomal RNA
Rfam family: Bacterial small subunit ribosomal RNA
Source: RNAcentral